RNAcentral lists this ribosomal RNA (208 nucleotides) under uncultured bacterium. RNAcentral's name for it is "partial 16S ribosomal RNA". It matches the Rfam family "Bacterial small subunit ribosomal RNA", at positions 568 to 774 of the family's 1533-position model. The record is from RNAcentral.
CAUGUAGGUGGAUCAAUAAGUCUGCUGUGAAAGUCGAAGGCUCAACCUUCGAAAGCCGGUGGAUACUGUUGAUCUAGAGUACGGAAGAGGCGAGUGGAAUUCCUGGUGUAGCGAUGGAAUGCGCAGAUAUCAGGAGGAACACCAAUAGCGAAGGCAGCUCGCUGGGACGUUACUGACACUGAGAUGCGAAAAGCGUGGGGAGCAAACA